CCUACGGGGGGCAGCAGUGGGGAAUAUUGGGCAAUGGGCGCAAGCCUGACCCAGCAACGCCGCGUGAAGGAAGAAGGCUUUCGGGUUGUAAACUUCUUUUGUCAGGGACGAAGCAAGUGACGGUAGCGGACGAAUAAGCCACGGCUAACUACGUGCCAGAAGCCGCGGUAAGACUUAGGUGGCAAGCGUGAUCCGGAUUUACUGGGUGUAAAGGUCGGGUAGGCGGGGAAGAAAGUCAGAUGGGAAAACCACGGGCUCAGCCUGUGGCCUGCAUUUGAAACUGUUGUUCUUGAGUGCGGGACAGGCAAGCGGACUUCCGGGUGUAGCGGUGAAAUGCGUAGAGAUACGGAGGAACACCAGUGGCGCAGGCGGAUUGCUGGACAGUAACUGACGCUGAGGCGCGAACGCGUGGGGAGCAAACAGGAUUAGAUACCCCAGUAGUC
Molecule: ribosomal RNA, 443 nt
Filed under: uncultured bacterium
Lineage: Bacteria
Description: partial 16S ribosomal RNA
Rfam family: Bacterial small subunit ribosomal RNA
Source: RNAcentral